UGGGGAAUUUUGGACAAUGGGCGAAAGCCUGAUCCAGCAAUGCCGCGUGUGUGAAGAAGGCCUUCGGGUUGUAAAGCACUUUUGUCCGGAAAGAAAUGGCUCUGGUUAAUACCUGGGGUCGAUGACGGUACCGGAAGAAUAAGGACCGGCUAACUACGUGCAAGCAGCCGCGGUAAUACGUAGGGUCCAAGCGUUAAUCGGAAUUACUGGGCGUAAAGCGUGCGCAGGCGGUUGUGCAAGACCGAUGUGAAAUCCCCGAGCUUAACUUGGGAAUUGCAUUUGUGACUGCACGGCUAGAGUGUGUCAGAGUGGGGUAGAAGUCCACGUGUAGCAGUGACAUGCGUAGAGAUGUGGAGGAAUACCGAUGGCGAAGUCAGCCCCCUGAGAUAACACUGACUCUCAUGCACGAAAGCGUGGGGAGCAAACAGG
Molecule: ribosomal RNA, 429 nt
Filed under: Bacillota bacterium
Lineage: Bacteria; Bacillati; Bacillota
Description: Firmicutes bacterium partial 16S ribosomal RNA
Rfam family: Bacterial small subunit ribosomal RNA
Source: RNAcentral